AAGUAAGUGUUUAAGGGCG
RNAcentral lists this ribosomal RNA (19 nucleotides) under Mycobacterium scrofulaceum. RNAcentral's name for it is "partial 23S ribosomal RNA". Lineage: Bacteria; Bacillati; Actinomycetota; Actinomycetes; Mycobacteriales; Mycobacteriaceae. The record is from RNAcentral.